Long non-coding RNA from Scylla paramamosain (green mud crab), 2500 nucleotides. RefSeq lists it as uncharacterized. NCBI's taxonomy places the organism in Eukaryota, Metazoa, Arthropoda, Malacostraca, Decapoda, Portunidae. The transcript has 4 exons. The record is from RefSeq and is a predicted model, not a curated record.
UGUGUGAAUAACUGGUUUAAGGAAUAAUUAGUACUACUUUGUCAAAUUUAUUGGUAAUGCUAAAAUAAAUGUAUUGAAUAUCGUGGGUGAAUGAGGGAGUGUAAAUUUACCUGCACGCCAGGAAGCACAGAGACGACUGAUGUAUACCAUGACUAUGCAUGUGUCCUGUACCGAGUCACUUGAUAAGCCGAGUCAGUCACGAACAGGUCCUGUUCGGGGAGUGGGCACUGACUAGUGAAGGCAGUUACACACUGGCGCCGUACAGACAUCACUAAUUAUAUUCCUAAUGGUUGUUAUAUUUUUCUUAUAACAUAAUAGGUUAGAUAGGAUGAUGUCUGUGUUACAAUAUUACAGUAAACAGUAAUAUGCUGUGCAUGUAUAGUAGUAUUACGAAAAUGAAAUUAAAUAAAAACUCAAAAGUUCAUUAGCUAUCUCUCUCUUGGAACCCUUAGGGACGUUUUGCGGAAUCCUAGGGUUCCGGGGAAUCACGGCUGAGAAAUGCUGCUCUAUGCGGUAACACGAUAUGUCCUGCUGUGAUUAUUUAAUCCUUAUUUAACCCUUUCACUUUGAUAUACAACGACUCACAACACUAAAAAAACAAUGUGUGAAAACUUUAUAAGCAUCGGUAAGAGAGAAGGGAAUUCAAAACUAGAUAUACAAUUUCUAGCCAGUGUAAUGUUUGGGAGUAGUGGCUGCAGAACGAGAAAAAUGUUCCCAGAGUGAUUAGCGGUUAAGGAAAGAUGUGGCAAAUAAGUGAUAAGAAAGGUAGUCGGGGAGCUAUGAAACAAACACCUGCUGGGCAGUGCCGAGGCGGUGGUGUGGUCUCUGCACGUGGCAACACUGGCAGGUUCAGAAAUUCACCAGGUUUCGAUGGGUCUCUGGGGCGAGCAGAACGCUUUGCCGCUUUGCCCUGUCCUUGUCUGAGAAUAUAAUUUAAAGACGAUAAUUUUGUAGAUAUGACAGUAAAACUGUACACCACAUUUCAGUUUUUUUUUUUUUUUUUUUUUUAUGAAACAUGUUUCGUGUUAUCUACUGGAGUAGGGUUGACUUAAUCCCUAAUUGUUGGAUAGAGAAAUGUCUUACCAGCUGUUUUACUGCUAAAUCACUGUAGGAUUACUGUUGGCCCAAUACGAUACUGAUAGGGUAGUAAGUCUUGGUAUAGGUAAACUUUCAGGCAGGGCAGGCCUUGCAUAGAAGCGGCAAAGAGUUCAGCUCGUCCCAGCGACACAUCGAAACCUAGUGAAGCUCUGAAACCGUCAGUGUUGCCACGUGCAGAGACCACACCACGGCCUCGUUGCUGGCCCAGGUGUUUCUAUUUCAUACAUGAGUCUUCGACUGUACAUAUUUGCUUGGCACUGUUAGUGAUGUAUGAGUGGUUGUGAUGAAACUGUUUUGAUUAUUGUAACUUGUUAAAACAAGAAUGAAGAAUGGUGAGCGAGUAGAAAAGGCUAAGAAGUGAGGGUGGGAGGCUAGAGAGACUGAAUUGUGGGGAGGAAAGGAAGCAGUAAAGAGGGGUGGGAAGGAGGGUACAGGGAGACGGUUGGAUGGGGUAUGGAGGGAGGAGGGAGAACGGGAAGGAAGGAAGGGAAGGUAGUGAUAAAGUAAUAUAAAUAACAUCACAACGUCCACUCACUCUCCUCAAACCAGCUGAGCUAAACCACCACAAAACUAUUCCUUCACUACUAAGACCGAGACGUGCGUGGGGACGUGUUGGGCUGAAACUAUGAAGGGAAUUAAAAGUAACUUGGCAACAGUGCUGACGUCACACUAGUCAGCUAGCGGGCAGUAGCUGUUGUACUGUGUGUUGCGUACGUGUGAAAGACGUGUGUUCUGCCUCGCGUGGACUGUAGUGUGUUGUUCUACAUGGGUAUAGUGUCUGCGUGUGCGUGUGACUCUAGCAACGCCGUGGCCGUGCGCAGGAGUACAGAAGACAUGGGUAGUGUUGUGUUGGUGUUAGUUAAGGCGGGAACCCAGGAGUCAAGAGGCAGCCUGCUGGGAGAGUGUUCACUUCCGGGCAUCGAUCAGGUGGAGUUAAAAUUCUUGUAUUUCCUGGAUGUCCACAGUAUUCAGCACUUAUUGCGGAAAAAUACAAGUUGAAGCCCGCCACCUGAACGCCGCUGAAUGGCCUGACCAGAGCGGCAGCUGUUUGAAGUACCUCCGCCCCUCCGCCGCUGCCAGGGACUGCCGCUUUUUGAGUCAAAGCGACUGUGUGUGAAGCAGUCUGGUGGCCGAAGGCACAAGUCCAUCCUUCCCCAGCAGAGGCGGCGCGGCGGGGCUCUGUGGGCGGCUGGCGGGAGCUGCGGUGGGCUGGAAAGCGUCAGUCUGUAAAAGAUUCAAGGCUUAAAAAGUGAGGUAUUGAGUCCCGGUAGCCUUGUGUUCCCAGAGGCCCCGGCACUCCUAGACAGGCAGGCGCGGCUCUCCAAUAAUGGUAAGUAACAGUAGGAAGUAAUAAGCAAUAAGUAACAAGGCAAUUCGUGACGCUAGGACCACUUCUGACUGG